UAUAUACUGGUCCCCUCAUGCAGACUUGGAAAAUAAAAGAUAAAUAACAAGUAACAUAAAACACGUUUCUUUAAGCAAAUAACACUUCCUUUUUCCUUAGCCACUUUUUGAGAUGAAAUUCUCCUCUGACUUGCUAAAGAAAUCCCCUUCUUCAUCCAUUGACACUCUUCCUUCAUCCAGCUCAGCUCCUUUCUCUUCGAGCAGCCCAGAACUCUUUUGCUCUUCUUUUUCCAUUACCG
This 239-nucleotide long non-coding RNA is filed under the name Salvia miltiorrhiza (redroot sage). RNAcentral describes it as "long non-coding RNA (SMIL_LNC001163)". Lineage: Eukaryota; Viridiplantae; Streptophyta; Magnoliopsida; Lamiales; Lamiaceae. The record is from RNAcentral.